Molecule: ribosomal RNA, 1096 nt
Filed under: Rugulopteryx okamurae
Lineage: Eukaryota; Phaeophyceae; Dictyotales; Dictyotaceae
Description: LSU rRNA
Rfam family: Eukaryotic large subunit ribosomal RNA
Source: RNAcentral
CCCCGCUGGAAUUUNUUACAUAUAACUAAGCGGAGGAAAAGAAACUAACGAGGAUUCCCCCAGUAACGGCGAGUGAAGCGGGAAGAGCUCACGUUGUGAAUCUGGCCCUCGGGCCCGAACUGUACUCUGUAGAGGCGUGGCCAGCCGCUGUCCGCGGCCAAGUCUGAUUGGAAAUGAGCAUCACGGAGGGUGACAAUCCCGUCCAUGCCGCGGUAUCGAUCAGCGCGCGUCCGGCCCGCUUUCGACGAGUCGAGUUGCUUGGGAUUGCAGCUCAAAGUGGGUGGUAAACUCCAUCCAAAGCUAAACACGGGGGGGAGACCGAUAGCGAACAAGUACCGUGAGGGAAAGAUGCAAAGAACUUUGAAAAGAGAGUUAAAGAGUGCCUGAAAUUGCUGGAAGGGAAGCGAAGGAAAGAAGUGUGGUAGGCCGCCCGGCCGCGGUCAGGGGCAGCGCCGGGCUCGCGAGAGGAGCCGCGGGGGAUCGGUAGGCGCCUCGCUUCGGCGGAGCGUUGUCAGGCCCCCGCGUCGCUGUGUCGCGGGCGCGGCCCCCGUGUCUGGCGGUCGCGGCUUUUCUUCACCCCGUCUUGAAACACGGACCAAGGAGUCUAGCGUGGACGCGAGUAUAGGGGUGCUCAAACCCCCUUGCGCAAUGAAGGUGAACGCCGGUGGGAGGCCGAACAACGGCCAGCACCAUCGACCGAGCUUGUCCCCCCGGGGGCAGGGCUUGCGUGUGAGCGUGCAUGCUGGGACCCGAAAGAUGGUGAACUAUGCCUGAAUAGGGCGAAGCCAGGGGAAACUCUGGUGGAGGCUCGUAGCGAUUCUGACGUGCAAAUCGAUCGUGAGAUUUGGGUAUAGGGGCGAAAGACUAAUCGAACCAUCUAGUAGCUGGUUCCCUCCGAAAUUUCCCUCAGGAUAGCAGCGGCCGAGCGAGACCAGUUUUAUCAGGUAAAGCGAAUGAUUAGAGGCUGCGGGGGAGUAACUCCCUCGCCCUAUUCUCAAACUUUAAAUGGGUAAGGAGCCGGGGUCGCUUAUUUGGANCCUCUCGGCAUGGAAUGGCUGGUCGUUAGUGGGCCAGUCNGGGUAAGCUGGACUGGCCA